RNAcentral lists this ribosomal RNA (392 nucleotides) under uncultured bacterium. RNAcentral describes it as "partial 16S ribosomal RNA". It matches the Rfam family "Bacterial small subunit ribosomal RNA", at positions 523 to 918 of the family's 1533-position model. The record is from RNAcentral.
AUACGGAGGAUCCGAGCGUUAUCCGGAUUUAUUGGGUUUAAAGGGUGCGCAGGCGGCCAUUUAAGUCAGCGGUUAAAUCGUGGGGCUCAACCCCAUUCUGCCGUUGAUACUGGGUGGCUUGAUUGCGGUCGAGGUUGGCGGAAUUCGUUGUGUAGCGGUGAAAUGCAUAGAUAUGACGAAGAACACCGAUUGCGUAGGCAGCUGACCAGACCGCAAAUGACGCUCAUGCACGAAAGUGCGGGGAUCGAACAGGAUUAGAUACCCUGGUAGUCCGCACAGUAAACGAUGAAUACUUGUUUUCGGCGAUAUAAUGUCGGAGGCAAAGCGAAAGUGAUAAGUAUUCCACCUGGGGAGUACGCCGGCAACGGUGAAACUCAAAGGAAUUGACGGGG